AGUCGACGGAUCUGUGGUGUAGCAAUACAUCAUAUGGUUAGUGGCGUAAGGGUGCGUAACACGUGGGCAACCUGCCCGGAAGAGUGGGAUAGCUCGCCGAAAGGCGAAUUAAUACCGCAUGAGGCUAGAAGGGGAAUCCCUUUGAGGCCAAAGUUGGUGAAAGCUAACGCUUCUGGAUGGGCCCGCGGCCUAUCAGCUAGUUGGUUGAGGUAACGGCUCACCAAGGCUAUGACGGGUAGCUGGUCUGAGAGGACGACCAGCCACACUGGAACUGAGACACGGUCCAGACACCUACGGGUGGCAGCAGUCGAGAAUUUUUCUCAAUGGGGGAAACCCUGAAGGAGCGACGCCGCGUGGAGGAUGAAGGUCUUCGGAUUGUAAACUCCUGUCAUUGGUGAACAAGGUCUACCGGGUAACUACCGGUGGGAUUGAUAGUAGCCGAAGAGGAAGAGACGGCUAACUCUGUGCCAGCAGCCGCGGUAAUACAGAGGUCUCAAGCGUUGUUCGGAUUCAUUGGGCGUAAAGGGUGCGUAGGCGGCGAGGCAAGUCUGGUGUGAAAUCCCGGGGCUCAACCCCGGAACUGCACUGGAUACUGCUUUGCUAGAGUACUGGAGAGGGAACUGGAAUUUACGGUGUAGCAGUGAAAUGCGUAGAUAUCGUAAGGAAGACCAGCGGCGAAAGCGAGUUCCUGGACAGUUACUGACGCUGAGGCACGA
RNAcentral lists this ribosomal RNA (716 nucleotides) under uncultured bacterium. RNAcentral's name for it is "bacterial SSU rRNA". It matches the Rfam family "Bacterial small subunit ribosomal RNA", at positions 60 to 756 of the family's 1533-position model. The record is from RNAcentral.